This 127-nucleotide small RNA is filed under the name Marmota monax (woodchuck). The record is from RNAcentral. Lineage: Eukaryota; Metazoa; Chordata; Mammalia; Rodentia; Sciuridae.
GCUGGGAAUGGUGGUGCACACCUGUAACCCCAGCGACUCGGGAGGCUGAGGCAGGAGGAUUACAAGUUCAAAGUCAGCCUCAGCAACUUAGCAAGGCUCUGAGCAACUUAGUGAGACCCUGUCUCUG